Dicentrarchus labrax (European seabass) is the source of this 681-nucleotide long non-coding RNA. RefSeq lists it as uncharacterized. The transcript is spliced from 2 exons. The record is from RefSeq and is a predicted model, not a curated record. Lineage: Eukaryota; Metazoa; Chordata; Actinopteri; Moronidae.
UGAUAUCACAUAGCCUAUUUAUCUACCAACCGUUUCACUUUCUGAACAGACAGAUCAGUGAACUCACUGAACAAGCUCCAAAAUGUGUAUCCAAGUCAACGUUCAUCUACCUUUUGGAAAUGAAAAGAUCAUGGAGCUGUGCAACACUAAAGAUCAGCUGAAAAACAUCACUGGACGGCAAUUUAAAGAGAAAAUUAAAGAGCGGUGGAUAAAUGAAGACUUUCGGAUGGUCUUCAACUCCAAGCUGGUGGAGGAAGAGGCCACUCUGGAAUCCACUGGGAUCGAGCACAUGUCCACAGUUCAUACAGUGCUGAAAGUGUCCGGAGGCACAUCUGAUGAAGAAUAAACCCCACAGGGUCUCAAGAAAACCAUGAACCAUGCAUGAACAAAUCAAUAUAUCCUCAUGCAAUCCUUUUUUAUGUAAUGUUUUAGGGAAUCUACAUGUAUAGUUUAACAUUGAAUCAUGAAUAAGUGCAAAUUAAUUUUACUCUUGGAUGGACAGAACUCUGGACUCACUUUGAUUCAUUGCUGAGUGUCCUUUUUCUUUAUAUUUCUACUACAAGCUACUGUGUUGUCAAGCCAAUGUCAAAUCUGUUAAGAAAAUGGAUACGAUGCCACAAAUCUGUAUUCUGUUUCUUUUAUGUAAAUGUAUCAUCUUCAUAUAAACUUUUAUAAAUUCUA